Molecule: long non-coding RNA, 360 nt
Organism: Ailuropoda melanoleuca (giant panda)
Lineage: Eukaryota; Metazoa; Chordata; Mammalia; Carnivora; Ursidae
Exons: 4
Source: RefSeq, a predicted model, not a curated record
UCUGGAGGCAGGGGAUACCUGUUCUUCCCUUCUCCUUCCCGCCUGCCCCUCUGGACAUACGUAUCUACUGACAAAAAGGGAGCUGUGUUCUGUGCAGUUUGGCAGAGUGAAUCUUCGGUAGAAAGUCUGACCUGUGUGACUGGUGCUCUGAGGAAUGAAAUGGUGAACAGACUGGAAUGACCCUGGGACACUUGCCGUCCACACAGCUGGAACAGCUAGCAUCGGACCCCUGUAGUUCUCAACAGUGACUGCAUACUGGAACUACCAAGGAAGCUUUAAAACAAUACCAGUGCUGAGUCGGCUCCUCUUUUUCCAGAGAAACUGGGGGCCCCCUCCCCCCUCCUUCAGAGACAUCUGCUC